UACGAAGGGGGCUAGCGUUGCUCGGAAUUACUGGGCGUAAAGCGCACGUAGGCGGAUUGUUAAGUCGGGGGUGAAAUCCUGGAGCUCAACUCCAGAACUGCCUUCGAUACUGGCGAUCUAGAGUCCGGGAGAGGUGAGUGGAACUGCGAGUGUAGAGGUGAAAUUCGUAGAUAUUAGGAAGAACACCAGUGGCGAAGGCGGCUCACUGGUCCGGUACUGACGCUGAGGUGCGAAAGCGUGGGGAGCAAACAGG
RNAcentral lists this ribosomal RNA (253 nucleotides) under uncultured bacterium. RNAcentral's name for it is "partial 16S ribosomal RNA". It matches the Rfam family "Bacterial small subunit ribosomal RNA", at positions 524 to 776 of the family's 1533-position model. The record is from RNAcentral.